UUAACAACCAUUGUACGAGUUAUUGUUGCCAUGCAACUCAUAAUAUUUUAUUUUUCUUAUGCACAAAUUAAGGAAUAUAUAUCACUACCGGACAAACUUAUAGGAUAACGCAUUGUACAGGUUGGCUGUUAAAUCGUGUCAAGAUUACAUGUUAAUAUAUGAGACCGCCUAGUAGACGAUAUCAAUGUACUUGCCCUUAUGAAUCUUGGCGCCCUCGGCGCUCAAUCAGAGGGGACACGUUAGUAAAGAAAUUUUACAUCAUCAGAUUUCCGUUUUACGGCUCACGUUUUACCCCCGCAGGUGAUUUACUGUACGUUGGUGCGUCCCAGGUAAAAUAGGAGUAUCUCCGAUCCCAUCUCCUCUCUUUGUCUAUCCUCGUUUCCUCGCCUCCGCGGUCCGCUCCGCGACUUCCCGCGCCCGCCCCGAGUCCCCGACGCCACCUCCCUGGCUCCUCCGUCGCCUGUGUGACCAGCCUCCUCAAAACAUGUCUCCUCUUCUUCUCGGCUCCGUUCAGGGGUGGUGCGGCUCAUCGGCAAGGGGGGCGGUGCACUUCGGCAGCACGCCGCGCCGUCCCAAGCUCCCGGCCGCGGCAAGAAACCUAGCGCCGCCCGCAGGCCGCAGCCCUCCACCCUCCGCAGCCUCUCAGCGCCGGCCUGGUCCCUGGCCGCCGCCUCCACCGCUGCCGGAGGACGGUUUCAUGGACGAGGUGGAGGAGGGUACGGGAGAGCAGGGGAGCAGCGGCGGUCCCGUCCGCGGCUUAGAUGCCGUCGCAGCGGGAAGAACAUCAUCCUUCAAACCUUACCAUUUCUUACCUAGGGGCAUCACCCUGGUCUGAAUCUAGAAUGCUGAAAACAAAAGCUGCAGGAGCGGAAUGCAUAUACAGUUCUCAUUAAGGAUUCAGCCUGUUUGUGUUGUGGAUGCUGCUUCUGCUAUUGUCAGCUUCCUCAAGAAUCCAUGUAAGGAAUGAACUCGGGGGACCUGAAGUUUAUACUGUCCUUGACCUGGUUGAGGGCUGAUGUAUAAGACAAUCCAUGAUUGGCCAUGAUAUGUCCAUGUACAUGGAAUAAGAUAAAUAUGCCAAGAUUCUCUUCCAUUGAAAAAUACUGCUGACGGUUACAAUGGCAUUUUCAGGAACUAAAGCUGUGGAACAAGAGUGUAACCUGUCCUGUUUCUUUGUGUUUGGAUAUCUUCAGUUGCCAGUACUGAUAUGGUUGAUUUGUGAAUCAUUUGUGAACAAAAUGUGCAGCUCAAGGUGUUGUAACAUGAUUUUUCAUAUACAACAACAAUGCCUGGGAUCUAAAACUCGAGGAAUUGGUUCAACUUCAUUAAGACAUGUCUCAACUCUCAAGUCUCAAGUCAGGAAUAGGAAUUCAUCGUUGGUGCACUGCUUCAAUCUCUCCAACUUGCCCCGUUGACUGAUGAAUUGUGCAUUUGAAGUGAAUUGUGCGGUUACUACAACUCCAAUCCGUCAGAAAUUGAUUGAUCAUAAAGGGAUCAAGGCAUUGGCUUCUACUAGCAAUUGGACGAUCAGAUUGGAAAGCAAGUGCUCAUUGUUGAGACCUAAGUGUGGAGGGUCAUUGUGAUUUACCGUUGAUCCGAAGGAUGCUUCUUAGCAAAAAGGAAUGCAAAGGAGAGGAGAAGCAUUGUACCUUCAAGCUUCAUUCUAUUCCUCCCAGUUACUAUGUAAAAUGUACUUGGUUUGUAUCCGUAGUGCAAUUAACUCUUACGAAUUUUGAUUGUUCAAUUUAAGCUUGAAGUUUGGUCACGACAAUGGCAUAAUAUUCUUGGGAUAUUGUUUUUGAACAAAAUAUUAAAUUGUAAUAACGGCCUA
Molecule: long non-coding RNA, 1831 nt
Organism: Setaria italica (foxtail millet)
Lineage: Eukaryota; Viridiplantae; Streptophyta; Magnoliopsida; Poales; Poaceae
Exons: 9
Source: RefSeq, a predicted model, not a curated record